GGAGAUAUGGCUCAACUGGUAGAGCACUUGCCUAGCAAGUGUGAGGUACUGAGUUCAAUUCCCAGUGCUUCCU
This 73-nucleotide transfer RNA is filed under the name Dipodomys ordii (Ord's kangaroo rat). It matches the Rfam family "tRNA". Rfam says of the family: Transfer RNA (tRNA) molecules are approximately 80 nucleotides in length. Their secondary structure includes four short double-helical elements and three loops (D, anti-codon, and T loops). Lineage: Eukaryota; Metazoa; Chordata; Mammalia; Rodentia; Heteromyidae. The record is from Rfam by way of RNAcentral.